GAUGAAGAACGUAGCGAAAUGCGAUAAGUAGUGUGAAUUGCAGAAUUCAGUGAAUCAUCGAAUCUUUGAACGGACAUUGCGCCUUCUAGUAUUCUGGGAGGCAUGCCUGUUUGAGCGUCAUUAAACCUCUCUCAAGUAUGAUUACUUGGAUGUGAAGGAAGAGUACCUUAAACUUAAGGAGUGUUCUCCUUUGAAAUUGAUUAGCAGAUGGUAAUGUUAUUAAAUCCCUGAUGUUGUAAGAAAUAACAGUGGUUUUGUAGACUAUUAUCUAGCUUUAAAUUAUAAUUUUUAUUAUGGUUGACCUCAAAUCAGGUAAGGAUACCUGCUGAACUUAAGCAUAUCAAUAAGCGGAGGA
Molecule: unclassified non-coding RNA, 355 nt
Filed under: soil metagenome
Description: partial contains 5.8S ribosomal RNA, internal transcribed spacer 2, and large subunit ribosomal RNA
Rfam family: 5.8S ribosomal RNA (bases 1-120)
Source: RNAcentral